RNAcentral lists this ribosomal RNA (115 nucleotides) under Amphiprion percula (orange clownfish). The record is from RNAcentral. Lineage: Eukaryota; Metazoa; Chordata; Actinopteri; Pomacentridae.
GUUUGUUUCUGACACUGAAUACGCCCAAUCUCAUCUGAUCUGCAAAGCUAAGCAGGGUUGGGCCUGGUUAGUAUUUGGAUGGGAGACUACCUGGGAAUACCAGGUGCUGUAAGCU